CCGAGUCUUAAUUGGGCGUUAAGUUGCAGGGUAUAGACCCGAAACCCGGUGAUCUAGCCAUGGGCAGGUUGAAGGUUGGGUAACACUAACUGGAGGACCGAACCGACUAAUGUUGAAAAAUUAGCGGAUGACCUGUGGCUGGGGGUGAAAGGCCAAUCAAACCGGGAGAUAGCUGGUUCUCCCCGAAAGCUAUUUAGGUAGCGCCUCGUGAAUUCAUCUCCGGGGGUAGAGCACUGUUUCGGCUAGGGGGCCAUCCCGGCUUACCAACCCGAUGCAAACUGCGAAUACCGGAGAAUGUUAUCACGGGAGACACACGGCGGGUGCUAACGUCCGUCGUGAAGAGGGAAACAACCCAGACCGCCAGCUAAGGUCCCAAAGUCAUGGUUAAGUGGGAAACGAUGUGGGAAGGCCCAGACAGCCAGGAUGUUGGCUUAGAAGCAGCCAUCAUUUAAAGAAAGCGUAAUAGCUCACUGGUCGAGUCGGCCUGCGCGGAAGAUGUAACGGGGCUAAACCAUGCACCGAAGCUGCGGCAGCGAACGUAUCACCCAAGACAACUUUGCGGAGUUGACGAUUGACGGAGCGAAGCGACGUCAAAGCGUUCAUUAAAGUCGAGUUGGCUUAGGGAUACGUUCGUUGGGUAGGGGAGCGUUCUGUAAGCCUGUGAAGGUGUGCUGUGAGGC
Molecule: ribosomal RNA, 680 nt
Filed under: Salmonella enterica subsp. enterica serovar Indiana
Lineage: Bacteria; Pseudomonadati; Pseudomonadota; Gammaproteobacteria; Enterobacterales; Enterobacteriaceae
Description: partial 23S ribosomal RNA
Rfam family: Bacterial large subunit ribosomal RNA
Source: RNAcentral